UCGAGCGGCAGCGACUUAACUGAACCUUCGGGGAACGUUAAGGGCGGCGAGCGGCGGACGGGUGAGUAAUGCCUGGGAAUAUGCCCUGAUGUGGGGGAUAACUAUUGGAAACGAUAGCUAAUACCGCAUAAUCUCUUCGGAGCAAAGAGGGGGACCUUCGGGCCUCUCGCGUCAGGAUUAGCCCAGGUGGGAUUAGCUUGUUGGUGAGGUAAUGGCUCACCAAGGCAACGAUCCCUAGCUGGUCUGAGAGGAUGAUCAGCCACACUGGAACUGAGACACGGUCCAGACUCCUACGGGAGGCAGCAGUGGGGAAUAUUGCACAGUGGGGGAAACCCUGAUGCAGCCAUGCCGCGUGUGUGAAGAAGGCCUUCGGGUUGUAAAGCACUUUCAGUAGGGAGGAAGGUAGUGUAGUUAACACCUGCAUUAUUUGACGUUACCUACAGAAGAAGCACCGGCUAACUCCGUGCCAGCAGCCGCGGUAAUACGGAGGGUGCGAGCGUUAAUCGGAAUUACUGGGCGUAAAGCGCAUGCAGGCGGCCUGUUAAGUCAGAUGUGAAAGCCCGGGGCUUAACCUCGGAAUUGCAUUUGAAACUGGCAGGCUAGAGUCUUGUAGAGGGGGGUAGAAUUUC
This 629-nucleotide ribosomal RNA is filed under the name uncultured bacterium. RNAcentral describes it as "bacterial SSU rRNA". It matches the Rfam family "Bacterial small subunit ribosomal RNA", at positions 62 to 670 of the family's 1533-position model. The record is from RNAcentral.